Manihot esculenta (cassava) is the source of this 3839-nucleotide RNA transcript. It is a transcript of the gene named probable xyloglucan glycosyltransferase 12, with no coding region annotated. The record is from RefSeq and is a predicted model, not a curated record. The transcript has 6 exons. NCBI's taxonomy places the organism in Eukaryota, Viridiplantae, Streptophyta, Magnoliopsida, Malpighiales, Euphorbiaceae.
AGCUGUUAGCAUCUGUUUUCCUAAAUCUCUUUACACCUUCUCCUCUCUCUAUCUCCCUGUCUAUAACUUGUCCUCCUUGCUAUUUCGUUCCCGUAUUGCAAGCUGUAAUCGAAUGAGAGGGUUUUUGGACUCAUCUCUUUGCUCAUAGCUCGCGCUCUCAUUAACCCAUAUGACAUUGUUUUAGUUUCUCCAUCUCAUCACUCUCUUCGGAAGAUUAGAUCUCCUCUCGUUUUAAGUUGUGUCCCUAUGUCACCGUGAUUUAAACACGCCUCGCCUUUGUUGCUUCUGCUUCUUCCUCCACGCGUCUAUUUUUUCCUGCCAUUUUUAUUUGUUCUUUCCCCCUUCCAUUUUUAUCUGUUUCUUCUGACAAUGAUAUCGAAGUUAUAGCCUUUUCGGCCUCGAAAGAAAGGAGGUGUCAAAUAAAAAGAAAAAGAAAACAAAGGAAACGAAGAAGAGUUUUUGGGUUAAUAUUUGAUUGAUUAUUUUGUUGCUUUUCAUUCGCUUUCUUUUGUUUGCGAGUCUGGUUUAUUUUUUAUAGAUCAGACCCAAAAUACCAAAUUUAACGGCAAUGGCACCUUCGUUCGAUUGGUGGGCUAAGGAGGGCCAUAGAGGCACGCCCGUCGUGGUCAAAAUGGAGAACCCCAACUGGUCAAUGGUCGAGCUUGAGGGUCCAGCUGACGAAGAUUUCCUCAUCGGCGACUCGCCGGCUCGUUCCCGAGACAAGUUUCGUAACAAGAACGCGAAGCAGCUCACCUGGGUUCUUCUUCUCAAAGCCCAUAAGGCCGCUGGUUGUUUAACCUCCAUUGCCUCAGCAAUGGUCUCCCUUGGCUCCCUCAUAAAGCGACGUCUACGCUCUGGUCGCACUGACACCGACGCCGACGUAGAAAUCGACUUGGACGCCGGCCGGGAAAAUGAGAACAUAACAGUCAAAAGCCGGUUCUACUCCUGCAUCAAGGUCUUUCUAUGGCUCUCUGUUUUGCUUUUAGGGUUCGAGAUGGCUGCCUAUUUCAAGGGCUGGCAUUUUGGUUCUCCUCACCUCCAAUUACAGUACCUAUUAGCUAGUUCCUUUGGGUUUAAGGACAUUUUCGAUUCCUUGUAUUCUCGAUGGGUUUUGAUUCGCGUGGAGUAUCUCGCUCCUCCCUUGCAAUUCCUCGCCAAUGUAUGUAUUGUGCUCUUCCUUAUUCAGAGUCUGGACAGGCUUGUUCUCUGCUUGGGCUGUUUCUGGAUCCGAUUCAAGAAGAUAAAACCCAUUCUCAAACAAGACGCAAUUGCCGACCUUGAAUCCGGCGAAAAUGGCUUCUUCCCGAUGGUCCUUGUCCAAAUCCCCAUGUGCAACGAGAAAGAGGUUUAUCAACAAUCAAUUGCUGCUGUAUGUAAUUUGGACUGGCCUAAAUCGAAGCUUCUAAUUCAAGUUCUAGACGAUUCUGAUGAUCCAACGACUCAAUUGUUGAUCAAGGAAGAGGUUAACAAAUGGCAGCAAGAGGGUGCCCACAUUGUGUAUAGGCAUCGAGUAGUCAGAGAAGGGUAUAAAGCUGGUAAUCUCAAGUCUGCAAUGAAUUGCAGCUAUGUCAAAGACUAUGAAUUUGUUGCUAUUUUCGAUGCUGAUUUCCAGCCCACACCCGACUUCCUUAAAAAAACAGUACCUCACUUUAAGGAUAAUGAAGAGCUUGGGCUUGUUCAAGCAAGAUGGUCGUUUGUGAACAAGGAUGAGAACUUGUUAACAAGAUUGCAGAAUAUUAAUUUAGCAUUUCAUUUUGAAGUAGAGCAACAGGUGAAUGGGGUUUUCAUUAACUUUUUUGGGUUCAAUGGGACCGCUGGAGUAUGGAGGAUUAAGGCUCUGGAGGAUGCUGGUGGGUGGCUAGAGAGAACUACCGUUGAGGAUAUGGAUAUUGCUGUCCGUGCUCAUCUUCAUGGCUGGAAAUUUAUUUUCCUAAAUGAUGUUGAGUGCCAGUGUGAGUUGCCAGAAUCAUACGAGGCAUAUAGAAAGCAGCAGCACAGAUGGCAUUCUGGUCCAAUGCAGUUGUUUAGGCUCUGUUUGCCGGAUAUUAUACGAGCAAAGAUUAGCAUAUCGAAGAAGUUCAAUAUGAUCUUUCUCUUCUUUCUUCUUAGAAAGCUGAUCUUACCUUUUUAUUCUUUCACCCUAUUUUGCAUAAUUUUGCCAAUGACAAUGUUCAUACCAGAGGCUGAGCUGCCGGCAUGGGUUGUCUGUUACAUUCCAGCCACUAUGUCAUUUCUCAAUAUUCUCCCAGCACCAAAAUCCUUCCCCUUCAUUGUUCCUUACCUUCUAUUUGAGAACACUAUGUCAGUAACCAAGUUCAAUGCCAUGAUCUCUGGUCUAUUCCAGCUUGGAAGUGCCUAUGAAUGGGUUGUGACUAAGAAGUCUGGUCGCUCUUCUGAGGGUGAUCUUGUCUCCUUGGCUCAAAAAGAACCAAAUAAUCAAAGGGUGGCGUCAGUACCAAAUCUUGCAGAAAUGAAAGAAGAACUUCUACAGGAGAAAAAGGGUCCAAAAAGAAAGCACAAUAGGAUAUAUAGAAAGGAGCUGGCACUGGCUUUUCUGCUUUUAACAGCUUCAGCGAGGAGUCUCCUGUCUGCUCAGGGGAUCCAUUUCUACUUCUUGCUGUUUCAAGGAAUAUCAUUCUUGCUGGUUGGUCUUGAUUUGAUUGGGGAGCAGGUUCAGUGAAAGGAUAUAUGAUGGAUUUGUAAGGGUUAUAGCUGAUAUAGAUGAAGGGAACACCGAAAAUGAAUGUGAUUGAACAGGAAGUUACAUGGGGAGAUCAUUAGUGGGCUGCGAGUGCUUCCUUUUCUUGAUUGGCCUCCACCCUCAGAACAAACACGAUUCUGCCCAAAUGUGAGAAGAAAUUUGAAUUAAAAGUGGACAGAAGAAUGACUGCAGUUGGGACAGAGGAAGAUUACAUAAUAUCAAUGCUCUUGAUUAUAUGAAUGUUGAAAAGAAGCAAAUGUCUCAGCUAUAAUGCCAACUACCAAAUAUGAGUUCCUGUUUCUUUCAAGAUUCUCUAGCUACUUUAUGGCCAUUUAUUAUAGGAUUGUUGAUUGAUUACGUGGUGGCCAUUUUAGUUGAUAAUCACAAGACCCGAAAAAGUUUUAGAGUAACGAGUUAACCUCGGUGUCUGGUCACAGGAAAAAUUAUACAGUGAAGCAGAUAUAUCAUAUAGGAUUAUAUGAUAUCAUUGAUUACUAUCCUUCAUGGUAUCACUUUCAGUUUUAUGCGUAAAAGGUAACGAUUCCUCCAACUACUUUUCCUGAAAACAUGUUGAAGUUAAUGGGUAUAGAGUAGAAGGUAGGUAGUGGACAAUUUUUAAAGUAUUGGCAUUAGAACAAAGCUUAAGUGAAGAUUGUUUAGGUGGAAACAGUUGAGUGUUGGUUUGGGAGCCCACAGAAAAUGUGUGAAAGUGUAUUUGGAUGCACAUGGGCAUGGGAGUAGGCUGUUGUUAUGCCGUAUUUAUGGUUGGGAAGCAGCUGGACCACGCCAUCGAUGGGGACUCCUCAAACCCAGUGCAAGGAACCGUGAAUAAGAGUAAAUGGGAUUUAUGACACUGAUAAAUUCAUUCAUUCACCAUCUAUGAAAUUCACUGUAAAUCUGUAUUGAAACAUUAAACUUAAGAUGUGAUUUUGUGUUUAUGUGUAUAUAAUGGGCGAUGGUCAAAGACAAAAUCCAACCAAUUGAAUGUUGGAGUAAUGGUCCACCAAAACAAGUGGAAAUUUUAUUUUUUGUGUGUUGGUGUGGGGUUGUUUAGAACAGCUGGUAAUGUAUUGGAGACCCAUACAUGUCAUUUCAAAAUAAAACUUUAUGCAAUAAAUCCAGCUCACCCUUCACCUGC